GGAUGUGAGGGAGAUCUGGCUGUGACACCUGUUACCUCAUUGAUCGCCAGGAUUGAUUUGGCGAUCUGCUUGGUUGCAGGGGCGGGAGGGUGCUUAUUCCUUCACUGCUCCAUGUGCAUUUCUCCCAAAGCUGCGGACUGGGUUGGGAUAGACAAGGACCUGUCUUUGGUCAAGGGCAUAUAAUUAGCUGCACUCCCCUGCUAGAACCUCCAAACAAGUUCUCAAGGUUUAUUUGUAGGCGAACUUAAGGUAGUCAAGGUUUCAAAAUUCCAGACACGUCCAAAUGAGGUGUUGCACAUGGCAGUCUGCCUUUAAAA
Molecule: non-coding RNA, 317 nt
Organism: Canis lupus familiaris (dog)
Lineage: Eukaryota; Metazoa; Chordata; Mammalia; Carnivora; Canidae
Source: Rfam